GGGUGGUUGGCGCAAUGGUAGCGCGUUGGUUUUCGGUCGCCGGAAGACGGAAGACACCAAAGGUUGUGGGUUCGAUCCCCAUGCUGCUCG
Coniosporium apollinis CBS 100218 is the source of this 90-nucleotide transfer RNA. It matches the Rfam family "tRNA". From Rfam's summary of the family: Transfer RNA (tRNA) molecules are approximately 80 nucleotides in length. The record is from Rfam. Lineage: Eukaryota; Fungi; Ascomycota; Dothideomycetes.